RNAcentral lists this ribosomal RNA (253 nucleotides) under uncultured bacterium. RNAcentral's name for it is "partial 16S ribosomal RNA". It matches the Rfam family "Bacterial small subunit ribosomal RNA", at positions 524 to 776 of the family's 1533-position model. The record is from RNAcentral.
UACAGAGACGUCGAGCGUUGUUCGGAUUCAUUGGGCGUAAAGAGCUCGUAGGCGGCUUGUCACGUCGGAUGUGAAAGCCCGAGGCUUAACCUCGGGUCUGCAUUCGAUACGGGCUAGCUAGAGUGUGGUAGGGGAGAUCGGAAUUCCUGGUGUAGCGGUGAAAUGCGCAGAUAUCAGGAGGAACACCGGUGGCGAAGGCGGAUCUCUGGGCCAUUACUGACGCUGAGGAGCGAAAGCGUGGGGAGCGAACAGG